GACGAACGCUGGCGGCGUGCCUAAUACAUGCAAGUCGAGCGGACUGAAUGGGAGCUUGCUCUUGUUCGGUCAGCGGCGGACGGGUGAGUAACACGUGGGCAACCUGCCCGCAAGACCGGGAUAACUCCGGGAAACCGGAGCUAAUACCAGAUAACACCGAAGACCGCAUGGUCUUUGGUUGAAAGGCGGCGCAAGCUGCCACUUGCGGAUGGGCCCGCGGCGCAUUAGCUAGUUGGUGAGGUAACGGCUCACCAAGGCGACGAUGCGUAGCCGGCCUGAGAGGGUGACCGGCCACACUGGGACUGAGACACGGCCCAGACUCCUACGGGAGGCAGCAGUAGGGAAUCUUCCGCAAUAGGCGAAAGCCUGACGGAGCGACGCCGCGUGAGCGAAGAAGGCCUUCGGGUCGUAAAGCUCUGUUGUGAGGGACGAAGGAGCGCCGUUUGAAGAAGGCGGCGCGGUGACGGUACCUCACGAGGAAGCCCCGGCUAACUACGUG
Molecule: ribosomal RNA, 499 nt
Filed under: uncultured bacterium
Lineage: Bacteria
Description: partial 16S ribosomal RNA
Rfam family: Bacterial small subunit ribosomal RNA
Source: RNAcentral